RNA transcript from Microplitis demolitor, 1444 nucleotides. It is a transcript of the gene named fructose-bisphosphate aldolase, with no coding region annotated. The transcript has 5 exons. Lineage: Eukaryota; Metazoa; Arthropoda; Insecta; Hymenoptera; Braconidae. The record is from RefSeq and is a predicted model, not a curated record.
GUCGAUUGAGUCAGUCGUCAGUUCCCCACAUCCAGAAGACCAGAUCAGUUCACGAGCAACUGACAAUUAAUAUUUUUUAUAUUCAUUAAUUAUAUAAUUAAAUAAUCAAAUCAAAUCAUAAUGUCGGCUGAAAAGUACGCAAAGGCAGACCCAGAAUUGAAGGCAGAGCUUAAAAAAAUAGCAGAGUCUAUUGUAGCACCUGGUAAGGGUAUUUUAGCAGCUGAUGAAUCAACAACAACUAUUGGUAAACGUUUGCAAGACAUAAAUGUUGAAAAUAAUGAAGAGAACCGUAAGGCUUAUCGCCAAUUGUUGUUUACAACCAACAAGGAUGUCAUUAAAGAGCAUAUCUCCGGUGUAAUUCUUUUCCACGAGACUUUAUAUCAAAAAGCUGAUGAUGGAACACCAUUCGUAGAAUUAAUGAAAGAGCGCAACAUCAUCCCCGGUAUCAAAGUAGACAAAGGUGUUGUCCCAUUAUUUGGAACAGAUGACGAGUGCACAACUCAGGGUCUUGAUGAUCUCCAGGCUCGUUGCAUCCAGUACAAAAAAGACGGGUGUCAUUUUGCUAAAUGGCGUUGCGUGUUGAAAAUAAAAGGCAACACGUGUCCAAGUCGGUUGGCCAUUUUGGAGAACGCUAAUGUCUUGGCGCGCUACGCAUCCAUUUGCCAGAGCGCACGGAUCGUACCAAUCGUUGAGCCUGAAAUUUUACCAGACGGUGAUCAUGAUCUUGCUCGUUGCCAACAAGUCACUGAGGAAGUACUCGCUGCGGUAUACAAGGCACUCAAUGACCAUCACGUUUACUUGGAGGGAACUCUCUUGAAACCGAAUAUGGUCACUCCUGGACAGAGCUGCCCCAAGCGGGCGACACCACAGGAAAUAGCAUCGGCAACAGUCAUUGCCUUGCAACGCACAGUCCCACCAGCGGUGCCUGGUAUCACUUUCUUGAGUGGUGGUCAGUCUGAAGAAGAGGCUUCAGUUAAUCUCGACGCCAUCAAUAAGUAUCCGGGUAAAAAACCAUGGGCUUUGACAUUCAGUUACGGCAGAGCUCUUCAAGCUUCGGUUUUGAGAGCCUGGUCUGGUAAGAAGGAACAGGUUGCAGCUGGACAAGAAGAACUUAUCAAGCGUGCCAAGGCAAAUUCAUUAGCUUGCCAAGGAAAAUAUCGAGCUGGUAGCAUUCCGAGCAAAGCCGCUAAUGUUGACUUGCACAUUAAAGCUCACACUUAUUAAUUACAAUAAUUACUGCACACUAUUUAAUUACAAACUCACAUUCUAUUACUGCUCGCAAUACUCUAGACUUUUACUUUCUUUUAAUUACUCCUUUUAUUUGAAAUUUUUUCUACAACAUUUUAUUUUAACGCAAAUAGCGAAGCUUCACUUGGAAAAUAUGCCGGUGGUGUCUCUGGAGCUGCUGGUGACUCUGCAUUAUUUGUUCCUAAUCACGCAUAUU